UGACAGCUAGGAUGUUGGCUUGGAAGCAGCCAUUCAUUUAAAGAGUGCGUAACAGCUCACUAGUCGAGCGAUCGGGCGUGGAUGAUAAUCGGGCAUUAAGCAUAUUACCGAAGCUAUGGACUAACGGCUUAAGCCGUUAUUUGUAGGGGAGCAUUCCAGUAGCUGUGAAGAUGUAUUGUAAAAUAUGUUGGAGCAGCUGGAAAAGAAAAUGUAGGCAUAAGUAACGAUAAUGCGGGUGAGAAACCCGCACACCGAAAGACCAAGGAUUCCUGAUCAACGCUAAUCGGAUCAGGGUUAGUCGGGCCCUAAGGUUAAUCCGAAAGGAGAUACCGAUGGCUGAUAGGUUAAUAUUCCUAUACUAGCGAUUACUGCGAUGAGGUGACGAAGUAGUGACAGGUCUGCGUACUGACGGAAUAGUACGUUGAAGGGCGUAGGUAUACAUUUGGCAGGCAAAUCCACUAAAUGUGCUGAAACCUGAUAGUACCGUGAGUCUUCGGACAAACGGAUAACGACCGUAACCAAACUUCCAAGAAAAACCUCUAAGCUUCAGGUAGUUGCUACCCGUACCGGAAACCGACACAGGUAGUCGAGGAGAGUAUCCAAAGGUGCUCGAGUGAAUCAUGGCUAAGGAACUAGGCAAAUUAGUCCUGUAACUUAGGAAUAAAGGACGCCCCGAGCAAUCGGGGCCGCAGAGAAAUGGCCCAGGCGACUGUUUAUCAAAAACACAUGGCUAUGCAAAAUUUUAAGAUGAAGUAUAUGGCCUGACACCUGCCCGGUGCUGGAAGGUUAAGAGGAGAGGUUAGUCCUGAGCAAUCAGGCCGAAGCUUUGAAUUGAAGCCCCAGUAAACGGCGGCCGUAACUAUAACGGUCCUAAGGUAGCGAAAUUCCUUGUCGGGUAAGUUCCGACCUGCACGAAUGGUGUAACGAUCUGGGCACUGUCUCAGCCAUGAGCUCGGUGAAAUUGUAGUUCCGGUGAAGAUGCCGGAUACCCGCAACGGGACGGAAAGACCCCGUGAACCUUCACUAUAACUUUACAUUGACUCUGGAUAAACAAUGUGUAGGAUAGCUGGGAGACUGUGAAGCGGCUUCGCUAGGAGUCGUGGAGUCAACCUUGAAAUACCAGCCUUUGUUUAUCUGGCGCCUAAUCCCUAACGGGAGACAGUGUAUGGUGGGUAGUUUGACUGGGGUGGUCGCCUCCAAAAACGUAACGGAGGCUUUCAAAGGUACCCUCAGCAUGCUUGGUAACCAUGCGCAGAGUGCAAUAGUAUAAGGGUGCUUGACUGUGAGACAUACAAGUCGAACAGGUAGGAAACUAGGAUAUAGUGAUCCGGUGGUUCCGAAUGGAAGGGCCAUCGCUCAAAGGAUAAAAGGUACUCCGGGGAUAACAGGCUGAUCUCCCCCAAGAGCUCAUAUCGACGGGGAGGUUUGGCACCUCGAUGUCGGCUCGUCACAUCCUGGGGCUGGAGAAGGUCCCAAGGGUUCGGCUGUUCGCCGAUUAAAGUGGCACGUGAGCUGGGUUCAGAACGUCGCGAGACAGUUCGGUCCCUAUCUGUUGUGGGCGCAGGAGAUUUGAGAGG
RNAcentral lists this ribosomal RNA (1577 nucleotides) under soil metagenome. RNAcentral describes it as "bacterial LSU rRNA". It matches the Rfam family "Bacterial large subunit ribosomal RNA", at positions 1087 to 2669 of the family's 2925-position model. The record is from RNAcentral.